RNAcentral lists this ribosomal RNA (258 nucleotides) under uncultured bacterium. RNAcentral's name for it is "partial small subunit ribosomal RNA". It matches the Rfam family "Bacterial small subunit ribosomal RNA", at positions 26 to 285 of the family's 1533-position model. The record is from RNAcentral.
AGAAUCAACGCUGGCGGCGUGCCUAACACAUGCAAGUCGAACGGGAAAGUGGAGCAAUCCAUGAGUAUAGUGGCGACCGGGUGAGUAACACGUGACUAACCUACCCUUGAGUGGGGGAUAACCUCGGGAAAACCGGGGCUAAUACCGCAUAACAUCUUCAGGAUGAGAAGCUGAGGAUCAAAGGAGCAAUUCGCUUUCGGAGGGGGUCGCGGCUGAUUAGCUAGUUGGCGGGUAACGCCCACAAGGCUUUGAUCGGUA